Xylariaceae sp. FL1019 is the source of this 90-nucleotide non-coding RNA. The record is from the annotation of a GenBank genome assembly. NCBI's taxonomy places the organism in Eukaryota, Fungi, Ascomycota, Sordariomycetes, Xylariales, Xylariaceae.
GCGGGGAUAGCUCAGUUGGGAGAGCGUCAGACUGAAGUACAACUUCCGUCAUUAAUCUGAAGGUCGUGUGUUCGAUCCACACUCACCGCA